RNAcentral lists this ribosomal RNA (540 nucleotides) under Salmonella enterica subsp. enterica serovar Infantis. RNAcentral's name for it is "bacterial SSU rRNA". It matches the Rfam family "Bacterial small subunit ribosomal RNA", at positions 1 to 532 of the family's 1533-position model. Lineage: Bacteria; Pseudomonadati; Pseudomonadota; Gammaproteobacteria; Enterobacterales; Enterobacteriaceae. The record is from RNAcentral.
AAAUUGAAGAGUUUGAUCAUGGCUCAGAUUGAACGCUGGCGGCAGGCCUAACACAUGCAAGUCGAACGGUAGCACAGAGAGCUUGCUCUCGGGUGACGAGUGGCGGACGGGUGAGUAAUAUCUGGGAAACUGCCUGAUGGAGGGGGAUAACUACUGGAAACGGUGGCUAAUACCGCAUAACGUCGCAAGACCAAAGAGGGGGACCUUCGGGCCUCUUGCCAUCAGAUGUGCCCAGAUGGGAUUAGCUUGUUGGUGAGGUAACGGCUCACCAAGGCGACGAUCCCUAGCUGGUCUGAGAGGAUGACCAGCCACACUGGAACUGAGACACGGUCCAGACUCCUACGGGAGGCAGCAGUGGGGAAUAUUGCACAAUGGGCGCAAGCCUGAUGCAGCCAUGCCGCGUGUAUGAAGAAGGCCUUCGGGUUGUAAAGUACUUUCAGCGGGGAGGAAGGUGUUGUGGUUAAUAACCGCAGCAAUUGACGUUACCCGCAGAAGAAGCACCGGCUAACUCCGUGCCAGCAGCCGCGGUAAUACGGAGGG